RNAcentral lists this ribosomal RNA (722 nucleotides) under Rossellomorea marisflavi. Its description in RNAcentral is "bacterial SSU rRNA". It matches the Rfam family "Bacterial small subunit ribosomal RNA", at positions 67 to 770 of the family's 1533-position model. The record is from RNAcentral. Lineage: Bacteria; Bacillati; Bacillota; Bacilli; Caryophanales; Bacillaceae.
CGGAUCGAUGGGAGCUUGCUCCCUGAGAUCAGCGGCGGACGGGUGAGUAACACGUGGGUAACCUGCCUGUAAGACUGGGAUAACUCCGGGAAACCGGGGCUAAUACCGGAUAACACCUACCCCCGCAUGGGGGAAGGUUGAAAGGUGGCUUCGGCUAUCACUUACAGAUGGACCCGCGGCGCAUUAGCUAGUUGGUGAGGUAACGGCUCACCAAGGCGACGAUGCGUAGCCGACCUGAGAGGGUGAUCGGCCACACUGGGACUGAGACACGGCCCAGACUCCUACGGGAGGCAGCAGUAGGGAAUCUUCCGCAAUGGACGAAAGUCUGACGGAGCAACGCCGCGUGAGUGAAGAAGGUUUUCGGAUCGUAAAACUCUGUUGUUAGGGAAGAACAAGUGCCGUUCGAAUAGGGCGGCACCUUGACGGUACCUAACCAGAAAGCCACGGCUAACUACGUGCCAGCAGCCGCGGUAAUACGUAGGUGGCAAGCGUUGUCCGGAAUUAUUGGGCGUAAAGCGCGCGCAGGUGGUUUCUUAAGUCUGAUGUGAAAGCCCACGGCUCAACCGUGGAGGGUCAUUGGAAACUGGGGAACUUGAGUGCAGAAGAGGAAAGUGGAAUUCCAAGUGUAGCGGUGAAAUGCGUAGAUAUUUGGAGGAACACCAGUGGCGAAGGCGACUUUCUGGUCUGUAACUGACACUGAGGCGCGAAAGCGUGGGGGAGCA